AUUGAACGCUGGCGGCAUGCCUUACACAUGCAAGUCGAACGGCAGCACGGGUGCUUGCACCUGGUGGCGAGUGGCGAACGGGUGAGUAAUACAUCGGAACAUGUCCUGUAGUGGGGGAUAGACCGGCGAAAGCCGGAUUAAUACCGCAUACGAUCCACGGAUGAAAGCGGGGGACCUUCGGGCCUCGCGCUAUAGGGUUGGCCGAUGGCUGAUUAGCUAGUUGGUGGGGUAAAGGCCUACCAAGGCGACGAUCAGUAGCUGGUCUGAGAGGACGAUCAGCCACACUGGGGCUGAGACACGGCCAAGACUCCUACGGGAGGCAGCAGUGGGGAAUUUUGGACAAUGGGCGAAAGCCUGAUCCAGCAAUGCCGCGUGUGUGAAGAAGGCCUUCGGGUUGUAAAGCACUUUUGUCCGGAAAGAAAUCCUUGGCUCUAAUACAGUCGGGGGAUGACGGUACCGGAAGAAUAAGCACCGGCUAACUACGUG
RNAcentral lists this ribosomal RNA (486 nucleotides) under uncultured bacterium. RNAcentral's name for it is "partial 16S ribosomal RNA". It matches the Rfam family "Bacterial small subunit ribosomal RNA", at positions 30 to 507 of the family's 1533-position model. The record is from RNAcentral.